Molecule: long non-coding RNA, 452 nt
Organism: Triticum aestivum (bread wheat)
Lineage: Eukaryota; Viridiplantae; Streptophyta; Magnoliopsida; Poales; Poaceae
Exons: 3
Source: RefSeq, a predicted model, not a curated record
GACACCGCCACUGUCGCUGCCGUCGCGGAACCCCGAGGCAGGGCGUGGUCGCGUUGUGGGCAGCACGAGCGGCCUUGCCUCUCCCCCUUCAGUAUGUCCUCAGCAGCAAUUCGUGACCUCCUCCUGACAGAUCCAAGGCCGUGGCCUUUGGGGUCCAAGUAACUGUACGCCAUGAGCCCUCAAGCAGCGCGUGUGUGGCCACUGCAUCAAGCAACGACCUCCACCACCAUCGUAAGGAAAUCCUCUUGAUGAAUGAAACCAAUGGUGAAGAAAGUUGUAAUUUCAACCAAAGGACCAGGUUGCGCUGAGGUAGUGGUGUGGUCCCGAUGAUGACGGCGAGGUUGACCUAAUGAUAAGCUUGAGAGUUAUUAUUCUGUUUAGCGUCUAUUGCGGCGCCGCUUGCAACGACCAUCCAGGACCUGCACCCUUGAAUCCGACGAUGAAGCCAUAUG